This 126-nucleotide transfer RNA is filed under the name Rosellinia necatrix. It matches the Rfam family "tRNA". Rfam says of the family: Transfer RNA (tRNA) molecules are approximately 80 nucleotides in length. The record is from Rfam by way of RNAcentral. Lineage: Eukaryota; Fungi; Ascomycota; Sordariomycetes; Xylariales; Xylariaceae.
UCUCGAUUGGUCUAGUGGUAAGGAUACCUGCUUGUCAUCUAGAGAUCUAGUCACCUACGAUGGUGGGCCCUAGAAAUUCACGAAGAUAAACCGCAGGUGGCCGGGGUUCGAUUCCCCGAUCGAGAG